UGGCUUGUAAUAACCUAUAAUGAAAAAGAAUAUGAAAAGUAAUAUGUGGAUGUAUAACUGAAUCACCAUGUUGUACGUGAGAAACUAACACAACAUUGUAAAUGAACAAAAACUCAACUCAAAGCAGGAUUUCUCAGUCUGGGUACUAUUGACAUUUGGGGGCCAGAUAAUUCUUCGUGUGUGGGGCUGUUCUAGACAUUGUAGGAUAUUAGGAGCACCCCUGGCCUCUACCCACUCGAUGCCAGUAGCAACUCUUAGUUCUGACAACCACAAGUGUCUCUAGCUAUUGCCAAAUACCCCCUGGGGGGUAAAAUCUCCCCUGGAUGAGAACCCCUGACUGAUAGGAGGAGAAUACAUUGGAUUUCCUGGGGGAGAAGCUUUCUAGAGGUUGGCAUUUACAGAGACACUAAGUUGGGAAUGAGCAAAUCAUGCUUAGAAAAUGGCAAGAUUCUCUUGGUUGGGAUGGGAAAUACUAGGACAGAAAACUUGUCAAGCUGGGUAAGAGUGGAAUUCUGUUCAUAAAAGGUGGUUUGGAGGCAUCAGUAUGAGUUUGAAAAAUGCAAGUUCUGUGGGAGUAAUAAGUCAUGAAAGUCAAGGGCGGCCUGCUGAUGAAAUAAAGUGACAAAAUGAGCUCCUUUGGGAAUGGGUGGUGCUCCUCAGUGGGCGGGGUGCCUCCUGUCUAGGCCCUUCAUUGGAGCAGUUACAUCCAGGAAACGUAUCUCAGAUUAGACUGAGUGCUCUUCAGGGUCCAGGCAGGUCUUGCCUAGGACAACACCUGACCUGCACAUAGAUGAAGUUCACCCAGUCAGCUCUGAGCUGGGCUGACCUGAGAAGGCUGAAGGAAGAAGCCAACAGAGAAGGCAAAAGUCUCCUAGCUUGUUGGUUUGAUGUAUAUCUUAGAGAUGAUAUCACUUUGCCUUAAGAAGAAAAAAAAAGGCUUUCACCUUGCAACAUCCAAUAGCAUGAACCAGUUUGGUAAACCAUGUGAAUCACUGGAUUAUUCUCUAAUUGAUUUCGUGGUAUUUACAAAAAGGAUCUACUUUCAAAGGAUAAUGUUUAACGCUGGUGAUAUUGUCAUUAUCCAGGAUCCCAGCCUCUUUUCACCAUUUCUAGUCAGUCAUCAACUCUGGAGAGAUGGAAGGAUUCAAGUUCACUGGAAUCCCAGGAAUAGAGAGAAGCCCAACACAGUUAGAUGCAGAAGUGGGAGGGCCAAGAGAAAGUGGAUCUCUCAAGGAUAAAGAGGCCCCAAGCCUGUGUGGUGUUGCUGCCCCAUUUGCCAGCGGGAAAAUCUGAACAUUUAAGAGUGCAUCUCCAGGAGGUAUCUGCCCCCAGCCUGAUGUCUAGCAGCCCGUCGUCUGCAGAACCCACCAGAUCAGCGUCCUUCUCCUGGCUUUGACCGACACCACACCUAUGGUCACUGAAAAAGGUGGGCAGACAGACAUGUUUAUGGUAAUCUCUCUUUCGUCCUUUGGGUAAGGUGUGCUUGGGGUAUGUUUGUCUAUGUGGAUGUGUGUGUGUGUGGAGCGCGCCUGAGUGGGCAAAGAGGAAGAGGGCAAUGUGUACAUCAUUUCUUCGCUGAUGCCUUCCCUGCCCUUCUUGACUGGGCGAUGUUCGCCUCCCCACCCUGAGCACCUUAUUCUCCCCCUCUGCACUGAUCACAGCUUAACUUGCAUUUGGGUGAUGAAUGCUCCUCUCUCUCGCUAGAUCGUAAACGGCACGAGGAAAGAAACCUAGUAUGUUCCCCUGUCCUGUAGCACGCCUAAGGCAUUACUGGUAUUCCAGAAAUAUUUCUUCCAACGGCGUUUCUGGGCGGGACUGGAGAGACCCACCGCCUAUCCGGGCCAGCGCCCGCCCGCGCUGCCCGACCCUAGCAGGCAGUAACGCCCCACCCUCCAACGGCCGGACGAGGCGGAGCCGGGCGGGGCGCUCUCGCGGGGACAGUUCUCCGGCUCGCGUGGGCGCGGCCCGGGGAGGGGGAAACGCUCCGGGGGCGGUGCGGCGCCCGGCCCAGGCCUGGCCAAUGAGCACCGGCCGGCCGGGGCUCGCGGC
Vicugna pacos (alpaca) is the source of this 2049-nucleotide non-coding RNA. Lineage: Eukaryota; Metazoa; Chordata; Mammalia; Artiodactyla; Camelidae. The record is from RefSeq and is a predicted model, not a curated record.